GCCACUCCUCUCAUAUUAGCAGCUUAUAAUGGACACACACAGGUAGUGACAAUGCUCCUUGAAAAAGGAGCAGAUGUCACUGCCUCUAAUGAUUAUGGUAGGACUGCUUUUGAUAUUGCUGAACAACGAGGUCAUAGUGAUACUGCCACAAUACUGAGAGUACACUCAG
Molecule: long non-coding RNA, 169 nt
Organism: Amphimedon queenslandica
Lineage: Eukaryota; Metazoa; Porifera; Demospongiae; Haplosclerida; Niphatidae
Exons: 2
Source: RefSeq, a predicted model, not a curated record